Molecule: ribosomal RNA, 110 nt
Filed under: uncultured bacterium
Lineage: Bacteria
Description: partial 16S ribosomal RNA
Rfam family: Bacterial small subunit ribosomal RNA
Source: RNAcentral
CCCGGGCCUUGUACACACCGCCCGUCACACCACGAAAGUUGGUAACACCCGAAGCCAGUGGCCCAACCGUAAGGAGGGAGCUGUCGAAGGUGGGAUCAGCGAUUGGGGUG